GACGUACGCUGGCGGCGUGCUUAACACAUGCAAGUCGAACGGUGAAGCGCCUUCCUUUUUGGUGGGUGUGGAUGAGUGGCGAACGGGUGAGUAACACGUGAGUAACCUGCCCCCUUCUUCUGGAUAACCGCAUGAAAGUGUGGCUAAUACGGGAUAUUCUGGGUCUGUCGCAUGAUGGGUCUGGGAAAGAUUUUGUUUCGGUGGGGGAUGGGCUCGCGGCCUAUCAGCUUGUUGGUGGGGUGAUGGCCUACCAAGGCGGUGACGGGUAGCCGGCCUGAGAGGGUGGACGGUCACACUGGGACUGAGACACGGCCCAGACUCCUACGGGAGGCAGCAGUGGGGAAUAUUGCACAAUGGGCGCAAGCCUGAUGCAGCGACGCCGCGUGAGGGAUGGAGGCCUUCGGGUUGUGAACCUCUUUCGCCAGUGAAGCAGGCCUGCCUCGUUUGUGGGUGGGUUGACGGUAGCUGGAUAAGAAGCGCCGGCUAACUACGUG
RNAcentral lists this ribosomal RNA (494 nucleotides) under uncultured bacterium. RNAcentral's name for it is "partial 16S ribosomal RNA". It matches the Rfam family "Bacterial small subunit ribosomal RNA", at positions 28 to 507 of the family's 1533-position model. The record is from RNAcentral.